This is a long non-coding RNA of Tribolium castaneum (red flour beetle), 721 nucleotides long. RefSeq lists it as uncharacterized. The transcript is spliced from 3 exons. The record is from RefSeq and is a predicted model, not a curated record. Lineage: Eukaryota; Metazoa; Arthropoda; Insecta; Coleoptera; Tenebrionidae.
CUCAAAAUUAUUUCUGGGCCCGUCCCUGUUUUCGCGCCACUGCCGUUUUAAAAUAUUAAAGCGGUAAAACCGAACUGAAAAGACAUGUAUUAGUAACCAGUAAUCAGUUACUUUAUUUUGUAAUUAAAAAAAUAUAUGUUUGACUUUUUUUGAACGUGAAAUAUUUGGACAAAAAGACAUAUAUUUCAAAAAAGACUCAGGACACGAUUCCAGCCGAAGAUUUUAAAAGAUUACUCAUUGAAAAUAAAUUCUUCGCCGAUUAUUAGACUUAUCUGUUGAAAAAUACGUCACUGUUAUAUGAUACAAAACCAAACCCAGUGAUUAAAGGUAGAAGAACUAUUCAAGAUGGGCUUAAUUAUCAGCGUUUUUCGCCAAACUGUGGACUGUGUCCGCGAUAAAUUUGGGCUGUAUCCAAGUGAGGAAACAACUGGAUUAAAUCCAGAGUCGUAUUCUGACAACAUUUACGCUGAUCUAAUAAGCGAUGAGCCACCCCUUCCCCGCCCAAGGGUUACUUUCAUGUUUCCUGGGGACGAGAUUUGAGAAAUAUUUUAUUGGACACCCAAAUAUAUCAUAAUGCACCCUUAAUCACUAACAAAAUGUAUUAUUAAUUCCGCACCCCCAAAAAAUGAAAAAAACAAACAUGCACUUAAUUAUAUUAUUCUACACUUUUAUAUGUUAUUGUGCAUUUUAAUCUUCAAUAAAAUGUAUUAGUUUUGUCCAA